CGAGCCAAUCGAGAGAGGAGGAACUGCGAGGGCCGACCACAAGUGCCUCUAAAAUGAGAGAAAUACUUAAAGAAAUCUUACCGCUAACAUGGCCGAAGAUGAAAUAGAUCGCCGAAACAACGAAACCGGAAGCAAUUGCAGUCGCAAGGAUGGACAGGCCGCUUCCUGAUACCGCAGUAGAAGAAGCUGCACCGGAUACAGCAAAUACAAAUAAAAAAGUAGCCACGCACUCUACUAAAACUGCCUUCCAAAGUUCCAAACUUCGCGCCUCGGUCGACAUUGGUAUCCUUUUUCAAGAUGGAAUCUUUUUAGAGGAAUAGGGAUAAAGGUGGCCGAUGUUACCACAACGGGAACAUGUUCUCGAGUGACAAGCCGAUCC
Polistes canadensis is the source of this 379-nucleotide long non-coding RNA. RefSeq lists it as uncharacterized. The record is from RefSeq and is a predicted model, not a curated record. NCBI's taxonomy places the organism in Eukaryota, Metazoa, Arthropoda, Insecta, Hymenoptera, Vespidae. The transcript has 3 exons.